UUUCCGUAGGUGAACCUGCGGAAGGAUCAUUAUUGUAUAACCGAGGUGCGAGGGCUGUCGCUGACCCGAAAGGUCGUGCACGCCCGAGUGCCCUCACACACAUCCAUCUCACCCCUAUGUGCACCACCGCGUGGGUCCCCCUUUGGCUUGUUCGGAGGGGGGCUUACGUUUUACACAAACUUUGUAUGCAGUGUAGAAUGUAUUUUUUGUUUUUGCGAUCACGCAAUCAAUACAACUUUCAACAACGGAUCUCUUGGCUCUCGCAUGAUGAAGAACGCAGC
This 281-nucleotide unclassified non-coding RNA is filed under the name plant metagenome. RNAcentral describes it as "partial contains small subunit ribosomal RNA, internal transcribed spacer 1, and 5.8S ribosomal RNA". The stretch from base 234 to 281 matches the Rfam family "5.8S ribosomal RNA", at positions 1 to 49 of the family's 154-position model. The record is from RNAcentral.